CACCUUUUAACAAAAACUCAACAUCACACAGGUUUAGAUUAGACUGACCACAAAAAAGACAUUGAUGUCAUAAAAUUUCUAGGAGUAGUUUGUCGCAGUGUAAAAUAUGUAACUUCCAGUUGCCAAUAGGUGGCGCUAUGACUAUAACUGAAUAUUGGCAUGUAGAUCUGUUCAGGUCAAGAGUCUUAAUCAACAUGUGAAGUUUGGGGCAGAUUGGACAUUGUAUGUCUGAGUUACAGCAACUUCCUUUUUCAUGGCGAAACAUCGAAAUUUGUUAGGCCGCCAUGGACCCGCCCUUUAACGAAACGUCAAGUCCUUCGCAAUUUAUUAUCGCAAAGGGCUUUAGAUUACACUGACCAAGUUUGGUGUUGAUCUGAAUAAAUCUCUAGGAGGAGUGCGUUAAAGUACAACCCCUGAAAAUGGCAAAAACAACACCAAUUUUGAAGGAAAAAUUCAAAAUAACCGACUUCCUGUUGGGAUCCGGAUUUCAUACCAAGAGACUUUUUUGUAGGUAUUGGAGUGUUACCUGUGUGUACCAAUUUGUGUACAUGUACGUGAAACAUAGCUCGAGGCGCACUCCGUUGAAAGUGUAUAGGUGGCGCUAUAGAGCCAUUCUGCCACACCCGGUGGAAUAUUGGCCUGCAGAUCUGUUCAGGCCAGGACCCUUAUCACACAUGUGAAGUUUGGGGAAGAUUGGACAUUUUAUGCCUGAGUUAUAACAUCUUUUAUUCCCAUGGCGAGACAUCGAACUUCGUCGCGGCGCCAUGAACAAGCCUUUUAACGAAAACUCAAGAUCUUCACAACUGAACAUUGCACAGGCCUUUAGAUUACACUGACCACAAAAAACACAUUGAUGUCAUAAAAUUUCUAGGAGUAGUUCGUCGCAGCGUAAAAUAUGUCACUUCCUGUUGCCAAUAGGUGGCGCUAUGACUAUAACUGAAUAUGGUCGUGUCAAACUGUUCAGGACAGGAGUCUCAUCAAACAUGUGAAGUUUGGGGCAGAUUGGUCAUUGUAUGUCUGAGUUAUAGCAACUUCCUGUUUCAUGGCGAACCAUCGAAAUUCGCCAGGCCGCCACACACAGGCCCUUCAACGAAAACUCAAAAGCUUCGCAAUUUAACAUCGCAAAGGCCUUUAGAUUAGGCGUACCAAAUUUGGUGUUGAUCUGAAUUAAUCUCUAGGAGGAGUUCGUUAAAAUACAACGCAUGGAAAUGACAAAAAUGACACAAAAUUUGCUCAUAAUAUUAGAAAUAACCGACUUCCUGUUGGGUUUUGGAUUUUGCUCCAAGAUACUUUUUUGUAGGUAUUGGAGAGUUAUAUGUGUACCGAUUUUCAUACAUGUACAUGAAACGUAGCUCGAGGCGCACACUGUUGAACGUGUAUAGGUGGCGCUGUUGAGCCAUUUUGCCACACCCACUUCUGAAACCCAUAUCAGACGUAAAUUUUCGCCAGUUCUGAGGUGUGUGCAAAGUUUCAUGACUUUUCGAGCAUGUUUAGGCCCUCAAAAAUGCGAUUCAUUUUGGAGAAGAAGAAUAAUAAUAAUAAUAAUAAUAAUAAUAAUAAUAAUUAAAGCUGCAAGCAGCGAUGAACGGGCCCUCGCACCCGGGCUCACCGCCAUAGUGUGGCUUUAGUAAAAAGGUGAACGUUGAGAAAUAUGCAUUUAAUGUCCUAAAUAUAAGUGGAAUAUAUCAAAGUAUAUCCCAUAUAUGUGCCAAUCUUACCGUUGCCAGCAGGUGGCGCUAUCAUUAUAAUGGAAUAUUGGCCUUCAGAUGUGUUCAGGCCAGGACUCUUAUCAAACAUGUGAAGUUUGGGGAAGAUUGAACAUUUUAUGCUUGAGUUACAACAACUUCUCUUGCUGUGGCAAGACAUCAAAUUUUGUCAUGGCGCCAUGGAAACGCCCUUUAACAAAAACUCAAGAUCUCCAAAAGUUAACAUUGCACAGGCCUUUAGAUUAGACUGACCACAAAAUAUAUGUUAAUCUCAAAAAAAUUAUAGGAGUAGUUUGUCGCAGCGUAAAACAUGUCACUUCCUGUUGCCAAUAGGUGGCGCUAUGACUAUAACUGAAUGUGGGCAUGUAGAUCUGUUAAGGGCAGAAGUUUUAUCUAACAUGUGAAGUUUGGGGCAGAUUGGAC
Molecule: long non-coding RNA, 2129 nt
Organism: Carassius gibelio (silver crucian carp)
Lineage: Eukaryota; Metazoa; Chordata; Actinopteri; Cypriniformes; Cyprinidae
Exons: 3
Source: RefSeq, a predicted model, not a curated record